RNAcentral lists this small RNA (24 nucleotides) under Brassica napus (rape). RNAcentral's name for it is "PsRNA_57". The record is from RNAcentral. Lineage: Eukaryota; Viridiplantae; Streptophyta; Magnoliopsida; Brassicales; Brassicaceae.
AUUAAAUGGAGAGAGCCCAAAAGC